RNAcentral lists this ribosomal RNA (495 nucleotides) under uncultured bacterium. RNAcentral's name for it is "bacterial SSU rRNA". It matches the Rfam family "Bacterial small subunit ribosomal RNA", at positions 66 to 543 of the family's 1533-position model. The record is from RNAcentral.
ACGCGGUUUCCCCGCAAGGGGAAACUGAGUGGCGAACGGGUGAGUAACACGUGGGUGACCUACCUUCGAGUGGGGGAUAACGUCCCGAAAGGGACGCUAAUACCGCAUAACAUCCUGUCCUUGAACGGAUGGAGAUCAAAGCCGGGGAUCGUAAGACCUGGCGCUUGAUGAGGGGCCCGCGUCCGAUUAGCUAGUUGGUGAGGUAACGGCUCACCAAGGCAACGAUCGGUAGCCGGCCUGAGAGGGCGGACGGCCACACUGGGACUGAGACACGGCCCAGACUCCUACGGGAGGCAGCAGUGGGGAAUUGUUCGCAAUGGGCGCAAGCCUGACGACGCAACGCCGCGUGGAGGAUGAAGGUCUUCGGAUUGUAAACUCCUGUUGCCUGGGACGAAUGGCUCCAACCUAAUACGUUGGAGUGUGACGGUACCAGGUGAGGAAGCCCCGGCUAACUCUGUGCCAGCAGCCGCGGUAAUACAGAGGGGGCAAGCGUUG